Humulus lupulus (European hop) is the source of this 502-nucleotide long non-coding RNA. RefSeq lists it as uncharacterized. NCBI's taxonomy places the organism in Eukaryota, Viridiplantae, Streptophyta, Magnoliopsida, Rosales, Cannabaceae. The transcript is spliced from 4 exons. The record is from RefSeq and is a predicted model, not a curated record.
UUCAGUAGAGGUUGAGCAGUUUAUACUUGAUGACUUGAGAAACCAUGUACAGCUGAGCAGUGUUGCUCUGCCAUCCAUUAGUUUUUAUACAUUUAUCAAUGCACAUAAUGGUUUAAACUGUUCAACUAUACCCCCUGACGGGUCAUUGGUUGCUGCUGGAUUUUCAGAUUCAUCGCUGAAGGUUUGUUCUUGAUUACAUUUUCGUUGCAUGUGACAUGUCAAUUGUUUGUGUUUUCUACUAAAUUUGGUACACAUUGUGCAUAUUUGGGAUAUGGCAAAGCUUGGGCAACAGGCUGUUGGUUCUGUUUUGCAGGGUGACGAUGAUGCAAAUCCAAAUGAGUUUGGUUCAAAUGGAGGAAAAAGACCCUAUACCUUAUUUCAGGGGCACUCAGGACCAGUUUAUUCAGCUUCUUUUAGUCCUAUGGGAGAUUUUAUACUUUCCUCUUCAGCCGAUUCAACAAUUCGGUUAUGGAGCACUAAACUAAAUGCAAAUCUUGUUUGC